GACGAACGCUGGCGGCGUGCUUAACACAUGCAAGUCGAACGAAGAGCGAUGGAAGCUUGCUUCUAUCAAUCUUAGUGGCGAACGGGUGAGUAACGCGUAAUCAACCUGCCCUUCAGAGGGGGACAACAGUUGGAAACGACUGCUAAUACCGCAUACGAUCUGACCUCGGCAUCGAGGAUAGAUGAAAGGUGGCCUCUACAUGUAAGCUAUCACUGAAGGAGGGGAUUGCGUCUGAUUAGCUAGUUGGAGGGGUAACGGCCCGCCAAGGCGAUGAUCAGUAGCCGGUCUGAGAGGAUGAACGGCCACAUUGGGACUGAGACACGGCCCAGACUCCUACGGGAGGCAGCAGUGGGGAAUCUUCCGCAAUGGACGAAAGUCUGACGGAGCAACGCCGCGUGAGUGAUGACGGCCUUCGGGUUGUAAAGCUCUGUUAAUCGGGACGAAAGGCCUUUUUGCGAAUAGUGAGAAGGAUUGACGGUACCGGAAUAGAAAGCCACGGCUAACUACGUG
Molecule: ribosomal RNA, 510 nt
Filed under: uncultured bacterium
Lineage: Bacteria
Description: partial 16S ribosomal RNA
Rfam family: Bacterial small subunit ribosomal RNA
Source: RNAcentral